This 443-nucleotide ribosomal RNA is filed under the name uncultured Nitrosospira sp. RNAcentral's name for it is "bacterial SSU rRNA". It matches the Rfam family "Bacterial small subunit ribosomal RNA", at positions 30 to 473 of the family's 1533-position model. Lineage: Bacteria; Pseudomonadati; Pseudomonadota; Betaproteobacteria; Nitrosomonadales; Nitrosomonadaceae. The record is from RNAcentral.
AUUGAACGCUGGCGGCAUGCUUUACACAUGCAAGUCGAACGGCAGCACGGGGGCAACCCUGGUGGCGAGUGGCGAACGGGUGAGUAAUGCAUCGGAACGUGUCCUUAAGUGGGGGAUAACGCAUCGAAAGAUGCGCUAAUACCGCAUAAUCUCCGAGGAGAAAAGCAGGGGAUCGCAAGACCUUGCGCUUUUGGAGCGGCCGAUGUCUGAUUAGCUAGUUGGUGGGGUAAUGGCUUACCAAGGCUUCGAUCAGUAGCUGGUCUGAGAGGACGACCAGCCACACUGGGACUGAGACACGGCCCAGACUCCUACGGGAGGCAGCAGUGGGGAAUUUUGGACAAUGGGGGAAACCCUGAUCCAGCCAUGCCGCGUGAGUGAAGAAGGCCUUCGGGUUGUAAAGCUCUUUCAGCCGGAACGAAAUGGUCACGGUUAAUACCCGUGAC